CUUGGUCAUUUAGAGGAAGUAAAAGUCGUAACAAGGUUUCCGUAGGUGAACCUGCGGAAGGAUCAUUAUUGAAUUAAGCUUGGUUGGGUUGUAGCUGGCCUUCCGGGGCAUGUGCACGCCUACCACCAAUCUCUUAUCACCUGUGCACCAUUUUGUAGAUCUUGGAUACCUUUCGAGGAAACUCGGUUUGAGGACUGUUGUGCGCGAGCCAGCUUUCCUUACACUUCCAGUCUAUGUUUUUAUAUACCCCUAUUUGUAUGUAUCUAGAAUGUAUUCAUAGGCUUCAAUUGCCUUUUGAAAUUUAUACAACUUUCAACAACGGAUCUCUUGGCUCUCGCAUCGAUGAAGAACGCAGCGAAAUGCGAUAAGUAAUGUGAAUUGCAGAAUUCAGUGAAUCAUCGAAUCUUUGAACGCACCUUGCGCUCCUUGGUAUUCCGAGGAGCAUGCCUGUUUGAGUGUCAUGAAAUUAUCAACCUUGUCCAACUUAUUGUUGAAACCAGGCUUGGAUUGAUGGGGGUUUUGCGGGCUUCAGUAAGUCGGCUCUCCUUAAAUAAAUUAGUAGGAAUCUUUGUUACCUAGCAUUGGUGUGAUAAUUGUCUACGCCGUUGUCUUUGAAGUAACUUGGAAUAAGAUCCCCCUGCUUCCAAUUGUCUCGUUAAGAGACUGCUUAUUAUUAUUAUGACCUCAAAUCAGGAGGC
This 698-nucleotide ribosomal RNA is filed under the name Tricholoma sulphureum. Its description in RNAcentral is "eukaryotic LSU rRNA". The stretch from base 308 to 461 matches the Rfam family "5.8S ribosomal RNA". Lineage: Eukaryota; Fungi; Basidiomycota; Agaricomycetes; Agaricales; Tricholomataceae. The record is from RNAcentral.